Molecule: transfer RNA, 72 nt
Filed under: Strophurus strophurus (Western spiny-tailed gecko)
Lineage: Eukaryota; Metazoa; Chordata; Lepidosauria; Squamata; Diplodactylidae
Description: tRNA-Trp
Source: RNAcentral
AGAAGCUUAGGUUAAAUUAUAAACCGAGGGCCUUCAAAGCCCUAAACAGGAUGCCACAACUCCUAGCUUCUG